This 501-nucleotide ribosomal RNA is filed under the name Protopolystoma xenopodis. RNAcentral describes it as "partial small subunit ribosomal RNA". The record is from RNAcentral. Lineage: Eukaryota; Metazoa; Platyhelminthes; Monogenea; Polystomatidea; Polystomatidae.
CGCGGUUAUACUGAUUUGCAUUUCUUUUAUUUACGAAUUAUUGAGAAUUUAUUAAUAGACUAACCUGUGGUUUAAUAUGUGUUAGGGUCUAAACUAAAUAAAUGUGUUUUUUAUAUUAUUUUUUUAAACAAGAAUUAGAUACUCUUUUAUAAAUAUGAUUAUUUAUAUAAUCUCAGUUUUAACUGAAAGAAAUUGGCAGCCGAUGAUAUCCCGUUGGGGGAAUGUGUGAUUUGAUAGAUGUUCCACUAGAUAAUUUACUUCUUUUAUUAGUUGGUGUAUAUCCGGUUUAGUUACAAAAACCAUAUGGUUUUUGUAAAAUUUGAUUUGUUUGAAUCCAGGUCAAUAUGCUGCCCACUUAGGAGUUAUCAUGCAUUACAUUAAAAGUUCUUAUACUGUUAUGUUGUGGGGGUUUAGGACUCAAUAGUAUUACAAAAUACUGUGUUUGUGAGAAUGGGGUUUAAUUGGGGCACACAUCGCCCGUCAUCUUCGAUUUUUGUUGAG